GAUGAACGCUGGCGGCGUGCCUAAUACAUGCAAGUCGAGCGAACGGACGAGAAGCUUGCUUCUCUGAUGUUAGCGGCGGACGGGUGAGUAACACGUGGAUAACCUACCUAUAAGACUGGGAUAACUUCGGGAAACCGGAGCUAAUACCGGAUAAUAUUUUGAACCGCAUGGUUCAAAAGUGAAAGACGGUCUUGCUGUCACUUAUAGAUGGAUCCGCGCUGCAUUAGCUAGUUGGUAAGGUAACGGCUUACCAAGGCAACGAUGCAUAGCCGACCUGAGAGGGGGUUCGCCCAACUGGAAAUUGAGAAACGGCCCAGACCCUUACGGAAGGCAGCAGAAGGAAUCCUCCGGAAAGGGGCGAAAGCCUGACGAAGAAACGCGGCGUGAGUGAGGAAGGUCUUCGGAUGGUAAAACCCUGUUAUUAGGAAAGAAAAUAUGGGUAAGUAACUGGGCACAUCUUGACGGAACCUAACCAGAAAGCACCGGUAAAUUCCUG
Molecule: ribosomal RNA, 496 nt
Filed under: uncultured bacterium
Lineage: Bacteria
Description: partial 16S ribosomal RNA
Rfam family: Bacterial small subunit ribosomal RNA
Source: RNAcentral